This 491-nucleotide ribosomal RNA is filed under the name uncultured bacterium. Its description in RNAcentral is "partial 16S ribosomal RNA". It matches the Rfam family "Bacterial small subunit ribosomal RNA", at positions 29 to 506 of the family's 1533-position model. The record is from RNAcentral.
AGUGAACGCUGGCGGUAGGCCUAACACAUGCAAGUCGAACGGCAGCACAGUAAGAGCUUGCUCUUACGGGUGGCGAGUGGCGGACGGGUGAGGAAUACAUAGGAAUCUACUUUUUCGUGGGGGAUAACGUAGGGAAACUUACGCUAAUACCGCAUACGACCUACGGGUGAAAGCAGGGGAUCUUCGGACCUUGCGCGACUGAAUGAGCCGAUGUCGGAUUAGCUAGUUGGAGGGGUAAAGGCCCACCAAGGCGACGAUCCGUAGCUGGUCUGAGAGGAUGAUCGGCCAACCUGGACCUGGGCCCCGUUCCAGCCUCCACCGGGGGGCACCGGUGGGGAAUAUUGGACAUUGGGCGCAAGCCUGCGGCAGCCAUCCCGCGUGGAUGAAGAAGGCCUUCGGGUUGUAAAGCCCUUUUGUUGGGAAAGAAAAGCAGCUGGUUAAUUCCCCGCUGUUCUGCCGGUACCCAAAGAAUAGGCACCGGCAACCUCCUU